Mauremys reevesii (Reeves's turtle) is the source of this 2938-nucleotide long non-coding RNA. RefSeq lists it as uncharacterized. Lineage: Eukaryota; Metazoa; Chordata; Testudines; Geoemydidae. The record is from RefSeq and is a predicted model, not a curated record. The transcript is spliced from 3 exons.
CUCAACACAGCUGGAAUGUGGGGCUAGGAGAUUGGCCCAGGGAGCAGCCAGGGUGAAGGAGCAGCCUGGCUCUAGAGUGGGAGUUUCUGACAGGCUCGGUGAUGGAAGCCAGGCAGCACAGCAGAAAUUGGGAUUCACCUUUGAGCUUGCAGCUCACCCAAGCACUGGUGACCAGCACAAGGAACAGAAGGCUGAUGCCCACCUACCCGUGUGAGGUGUUCCACUGAUAUUGAUGGGACGCCUUGGUGAAGAAGUGUCCAUCAAUGGGAAUUACUGAGGAGCUGAGCUGUGAAUGAAAUACCUAUGGAUCUCCCAUGAAUACUCAGCACAUGGUACCAGAACCCUGUUCAGAUUGGCUAGUGACUGUUUUAUAAUGGUCCCAGAAGCCGAGACUCCAGAUGGUGGUGCUUGGUGGAAAUGUUUCCUGUUAAGAAGUGGCCAUCAAUGUGAUGUCAUUCCCAAGCAGCCUCACUUCGUUAGGUGGAAGCUCUGGGAAGAAAGUAAAACAAGAUUGUGAGUGUGGGUCUGCUAUGUCUGAGAUAUGCUGGAGAUAUAAAGGGCCAUUGCACCCCUGGUCUUUUUGAAGUACUUGCAGCAAGUUGCUACAUUCACUCCACCCAAAAAUUCGCCUUCCAAAAGUGAGCGAAUCGUGUUAAAAGAACAAGUGCCUAUGGUAAGUGUUGACUGUAACAGGUACUGUAAUUAUGAAUGGCAUGAAUGGACAAUCAUUCCUGGUGCAGCAAAUCAAUUCUGUCACAUGGAAUCCGGCGUUUUCAGAGGAAAUCAGCUUUCACUGCAGGCUGCCAAGGCCAAAUGAGCUUCAUAAAGCACCUGCAGAUCUGAGCGUCAAGCAAUUAUUCCACUGUCUUGCCUAAAAACAAAAAGGGCCCUGCCCUUUGGUAGCCUUUGGCCUUUUCCAGCUAACAUAAACUAAUUAUAUUUGCGGUGGAGGAGAAAAAAAAACUUUCUGUGGUUCUCCCUGGGAGUUGUCACUCGGGCUUUGUGCAGCGUUGUCAGAUUUGCAGCAUGUAAUUCAAAAUACGACGCCCCCUUCAUCAGCUCAUAGCUCCAGGAAGCUGGGUUGCUUAAGUGCUUAAAGAGAUACAACAGGGGGCUCAGAUUUAUCUCAAAUAAAGUCUCAUCUACUGGGGCGCUGAGAACAGGCUCUGCGGGUCAUACAAGAGCCCCAUUGUUCAGCGUCACUUAGCAGCAAUUACAGCCCGUCAAAACAGUUUUUGUUUUACGACAACGUGUUAAUGGGCCCACGGUUGGGUGUGAGAAGUAACCCAAGCCACAUGCACUGAAGCAAGGUUAGAGGUUAAUUGAGACUUUCUAACACAGCGCAUGAGAUUUUUGCAACCUUUUGCCGAGAGGGAAAUCACGAACAAAAAGGAGAUAAUGUGAUACAAUUAGUCGGAAAGCAGGAGGGUCAAAAUUCCCAGAUGCAAAGGAAAACUGGCGAAGUGAAUCAGGCCAGAUGGGCCACCUGGACCAUAACGAAUGCCAAAAAUAGCUGCAGUCGUUCAUCUGGUGGAUGAGGUUGUAGGUGGUAUGUCUCUCCUUUGCAGUGUGUUUUUUUUUUUUUAAAGUAAUACAAGGUCAACACUAUAAAUGGUGGUUGCAUGUUGUAAUUUGUAUUCCAGAUCCAUGAUCAUUACCGUGUCUCAUUUUUUCUAAGUCAUCUAAUUUUAAACCAGCAACGCAGCUUGAGACACGCUCGCGGUAUUGGUCUGCUGUUCAACUUUCUGAACUUUCCAUCAUUUAUGUUCCUUUCCCCUGCAUGAACCUCCAGAGCAUUAUUAACAAAAGUAUUAACACUUGAAGACAGAUUUCACUGUGGGGGGUUCCCCCUGCAUGCCAGCGGGAGGGUGUUUCAGUCUAUACAAGGUAGCCACCUGCUCCAUAGUCUCAUGCAGCACAAUCAAAGACUGUAUCGCCCCAGCUCGUCAGCCUGUGUAAAUUGGCGUAGCCCCAUUGCCUUCAACAAAAUGACACUGAUUUGCACCAGCUGAAGUUCUGGCCUUGUAGACACACUUCUUAAUAAUAAGCAGGCCAAAGCUCAAUGUUAGUAUAAUGAGAAUAAGGUAUAAGCCCUCCCGCCCUCCCCCAAUCCCCCCAUCUCUUUGUGCCAUUGCAGCUGCUGUUUUGUCUGUGCUUUGGCAUGUUUCAAAGUUUAAAAUUUAGGCAAUAGGUGAAAAUCUUUGAGUUGCUUCCUGGAAAUGAACUGUGAGGUGACCAGAAGUGCCAAGUCAUUUUUCUUUUUGACUAAUGCCCAGCUUGCUUAAUUGUUUUUCUACAGCCAGUGUGUAGUUUCCUUUUACUUCUUGGGAACCUCACUCGCUUCCUGUACUGAAGCUGAGUCAUCAGCUGCAGGUGCCUAUGAUUUUAUCUGGAUCACAUUCAAACGCUUUGGGACGCCGCGUGAUAUUAGUGUGACAUCCUGGGUAUUAUGCCAUACAGUUUUCUUAGACGGAGAUGCAGUUAUAUUGUCACGCUGCAGCCUGUACGUGCAGAGCUUUACAGACUUUGGCCACCGCUUUCACCCUCCAGGAGGGUGAACCAGGCUGAUGCCUAAACAGGAUGCCUGAGUCAGGAGCCACUGGCAGCCCCACGGUACCUAGUACAAGGUCAGCUGAGCCCAGCUGGGCUUGAUAAUGAGGACUGGCCUGAUGGAGAAAGCAUUGGCAGGGAGACAAUGCCACUGUGCAGCUCUGGGAGAGAAACCAGCUCUCGACAGCACAAUACCAGGGGAAGGCAAUGAGCUAACGGGACAGCAGAAUGCUGAAGCCGAGCACGACUUUGCUGACCGUACGUGCCCCACACCCCAAUCAAGAAAGAAACAAAAGAGAAAGAAAGGGGUGAAGGCAAAAAUUGACAGAACAGACAAGCAGACAGAAGAGCGAAUGUCAGAGAACGAAAGAACGGAAACAAAAACAUU